RNAcentral lists this ribosomal RNA (1288 nucleotides) under bacterium. RNAcentral's name for it is "partial 23S ribosomal RNA". It matches the Rfam family "Bacterial large subunit ribosomal RNA", at positions 1612 to 2925 of the family's 2925-position model. The record is from RNAcentral.
GAAAAGCCCUUACAUUAAUGGCCCGUACCGUAAACCGACACAGGUGGAUGGGUAGAAUAUACCAAGGCGCAAGAGUGAAACCUGGUCAAGGAACUCGGCAAAAUAGCCCCGUAACUUCGGAAGAAGGGGUGCCCCCUCUGGGGGGCCGCAGUGAAAUGGCCCAACCGACUGUUUAGCAAAAACACAGCAUUGUGCUAAGGCGUAAGCCGACGUAUACGAUGUGACACGUGACCAAUGCCAAAAGAUUACGGUAAGAUGUUAGCACUUUAGUGCGAAGCUUCGAGCCCAAGUCCUGGUGAAUGUCGGCCGUAACUAUAACGGUCCUAAGGUAGCGAAAUUCCUUGUCGGGUAAGUUCCGACCUGCACGAAUCGUGCAACGAGUUGGGCGCUGUCUCGACCAGGUGCUCAGUGAAAUUGUAGUUCCGGUGAAGAUGCCGGACACCCGCAGAAGGACGGAAAGACCCUAUAGACCUUAACUGUAAGCUGUUAUUGGUUGUUCGAUCUUAAUGCUCAGCAUAAGUGGGAGACAUUGAAGGGUGCGUUUAGGCGCAUCUGGAGUCAUCAGUGAGAUACCACCCUUUAAUAUUGGAUAAUCUAACCCCGAGCCGUCAUCCGGCCGUGGGGACAAUGGCAGCCGGUCAGUUUUACUGGGGCGGUAUCCUCCUAAAGAGUAACGGAGGAGCGCGAAGGUGGGCUCAGCACAGUUGGCAACUGUGUGUUGAGUGUAAAGGCACAAGCCCGCCUAACUGUGAGACCUACAAGUCGAGCAGAUACGAAAGUAGGCCUUAGUGAUCCGGCGGUAGAAUGUGGAAUUGCCGUCGCUCAACGGAUAAAAGGUACCUUAGGGAUAACAGGCUUAUCACGCCCAAGAGUUCAUAUCGACGGCGUGGUUUGGCACCUCGAUGUCGGCUCGUCGCAUCCUGGGGCUGGAGAAGGUCCCAAGGGUCCGGCUGUUCGCCGGUUAAAGCGGCACGCGAGCUGGGUUCAGAACGUCGCGAGACAGUUCGGUCCUCUAUCCUCUGUGGGCGUAGGAAAAUUGAAGGGUUCAGACCUUAGUACGAGAGGACCGGGUUUGACGCACCUCUGGUGUUCCAGUUGUUCUGUCAAGGGCACUGCUGGGUAGCUAAGUGCGGAACGGAUAAGCGCUGAAAGCAUCUAAGCGCCAAGCCAUUCCUGAGAUAAAUUUUCCCUGAAGGAUCGUGGAAGACGACCACGUUGAUAGGCUGGGGGUAGAAGUGCAGCAAUGUAUGUAGCUCACCAGUACUAAUCAUCCGUUCGACUUAAUUCC